Molecule: small nuclear RNA, 19 nt
Filed under: Arabidopsis thaliana (thale cress)
Lineage: Eukaryota; Viridiplantae; Streptophyta; Magnoliopsida; Brassicales; Brassicaceae
Description: snRNA_03604
Source: RNAcentral
CUAAAAAAAAAAAAAAAUA